AGUUUGCACUCAGCAGCAGUUCUAACUAAACCACCAAAAUGAAAUACUUCCUGGUUUUCCUGGUCGUCUGCGUGGCCCUGGCCGCCGCUUCACCCCAGUUCUUUGCCUGGCCAGGAUAUGCUGGUUAUGCUCCCGCUAGCAGGACUGUGGUUGCUGGUCCUACUGUGGUGAAUGAAGCUCCUGCCCGCUACUUCGCUGGUUAUCCAUUCUUCUAAGCCGGCGCUCUCCCCUUCAACCCUCAACCCUAGCAACUUGCACUUUGUCACACUUUGGCCCAAACAACAUAAUAUUCGUGUCUUGUAUAUUUAGGUACAUCUAUUUACUAUAACAUGUAUAUCUACAAAAAUUAAAAGUAUUGUUUACAGAA
Spodoptera litura is the source of this 367-nucleotide non-coding RNA. Lineage: Eukaryota; Metazoa; Arthropoda; Insecta; Lepidoptera; Noctuidae. The record is from RefSeq and is a predicted model, not a curated record.